CUGAAGGCGCAGGCCGGAGCCCCUCCCUCCAUGCACUCCCCCAAACCCCGACCCCAGGGUCUGCACCCAGGAUGGCGAGCCCGGCGUGGGAGGAGUGGGAAACAGAGGAUGCGGGGACCGCGCGGAGGAGGCAGGGGGAGGAGGCGACGUCCCGCACUGUCUCACCGCAGGACCGACCUCGGCGCUUAUCUGCUCGGGCAGCUUCCGCCCCCCCAGCCCAGCCCCCCGCCGCAAGCCGGGCCCCCGCCCCCCGCCUCCGGAGCGCCCGCCGGGUGGCGGGGAGGGGCCCUCCCCCGUCGCCCGCCCCUAGGGAGCACCGAGCUGCAGCGGGCCGCUGCCCGGCCAAGCGGAGAGGAGCCCGGCCCCCAGAAGAGGAGGCACACGCGUUCGGUGACCGUCUGAGGGAUGCUCCCGCUCAUUGGUGUUGAAGGAACCACGAGGACGACCAGGGGGUACAGAUCUGUGAUUCAUCAGUCUAACACAAUUCACAGGGCUCACCAUACCUUCCCCAGUGUCCAUCAUCCAGCGACCCCAUUCCCUCCCCCGAGCAAUCCUCAAUUUGUUUCCUGAGAUUAAAAGUCUCUCAUGGUUUGUCUCCCUCUCUGAUUUCGUCUUGUUUCAUUUUUUCCCUAUAGCAAAAGUCUCAAAGUCACCCAAAAGUCCACCAACAAGAGAUUGGGCUAAUAAAUUCCAGUGGAUCCGUCCACACAUGGUUCAGCAGUUCCAAAUGAACCAAUUUCACAUAAUAACAUGAAUGAAUCUUACUUGAUUCAUUGCCUUGAGUGAAAAAGCCAGUUCCAGAAAACAAAUACUUGCCCUUCCUGUGAAGUUCAAAAUCCAGCCAAACCGUAUCUCUGCAAAUAGCAAGAAGCCCACAGGGCAGGUGGGAAUGCAGGAGACCGGGCUAAGAACCCCAAAGACACACAACACUGAGAGCCUUCAGCCUGGACAGAUUCAGAAAGCUUCAGGGAGGAGCAGGCUUGUAAACGUGCUAGAUUUCAAUCAAUAGACAGCAGAAGGGGAAGAACAUGCCAGGCCCGCCAGGGGAUGGGAAAGGGGUUGUAAAGGGGGUUAUAAAGGCAGAGAGGCCGGACAGAAAGUAGUGAGGCUUGGCUGCGCAUGGGCUGCCUGGGAAGGGUUGCUAGGGGAUAGGGGGGUUGCUAUGGAAUUGCUGGGGCCUCAUCUGGCCAGGGCUCAGGAUUCGGAGUAGCUAAGGCUACUCUAGGAAGAAUGACUUGAGAGAGGGUUAAGGUCAGGGGUACCCCAGAGGGAGGCCUGGUAUGGAGAGGUGGAGCCUGAAUCCAUUGUAAGAGCAUCCUUAUUUCAGCUGUGACCUUGGGCAAGGUGAUCCCGGCCCUGAACCUCAGAUGCCUUUUUACCGAGGUUGCUGCCCGCCAGUGGACUCCAUGGAAAGCCCUGAGAAGGAGGCCCACAUUCUGGAAGCAGAGAAAAUGUGCAUCAACCCCCAGCCUAGCGCAUCUAGCACUGCACUCCUGGAGGAGGGUAGGCUUCAUGCCCAAGUGGAGCCCAACGUGGGACUUGAACUCACAACCCUGAGAUCAAGACCAGAGCUAAGAUCAAGAGUCAAACGCUCAACUGACUGAGCCAACCAGACACCCCCUUUUUGUUAUUGUUUUAAAAUAAUAGAUUGGGGCACCUGGGUGACUCAGUAGGUUGGGUGUCUGCCUUCAGCCCAGGUCAUGAUCUCAGAGUCCUGGGAUGGAGCCCCACAUCUGCUCUGCAGGGAGCCUGCUCUCUCUCUCUCUCUGUCUACCCCUCUGCCUACUUGUGCUCUCUCUCUCUCUCUCUCUGUCAAAUAAAUAAAUAAAAUAUUUUUUAAAAAUAGUAGAUCAUGUUAAAUAAAUCAUUUCUGCACAUUUCUUUUCUCAUUCAUCUUGACUUGGAAUCCUCUGGCAGAUCUAAUUCACUGUUCCACACACCAGGCCACCCACCAUGUCUUCCUAUCUGGUCCUCCCUGCUCGAGGUCCUCCUCUAGAGUCCCCCAAUGUGCCCCUUUCUUGACUCUAUUAGGGCAGG
This is a long non-coding RNA of Mustela lutreola (European mink), 2037 nucleotides long. RefSeq lists it as uncharacterized. The record is from RefSeq and is a predicted model, not a curated record. Lineage: Eukaryota; Metazoa; Chordata; Mammalia; Carnivora; Mustelidae. The transcript has 5 exons.